CCUACGGGUGGCAGCAGUGAGGAAUAUUGGUCAAUGGGCGGGAGCCUGAACCAGCCAAGCCGCGUGAGGGAAGAAGGUACAGCGUAUCGUAAACCUCUUUUGUCAGGGAACAAAGGCGGGGACUAGUCCCCGGAUGAGGGUACCUGAAGAAAAAGCAUCGGCUAACUCCGUGCCAGCAGCCGCGGUAAUACGUAGGGAGCAAGCGUUGUUCGGAAUGACUGGGCGGAAAGGGUGCGUAGGCGGUUAUACAAGUUAGAAGUGAAAUACCCGGGGCUUAACUCGGGUGCUGCUUCUAAAACUGUAAGACUUGAGUGCAGUAGAGGUUAGUGGAAUGCCUGGUGUAGCGGUGGAAUGCGUAGAUAUUAGGAGGAACACCAGAGGCGAAGGCGGCUAACUGGACUGCAACUGACGCUGAGGCACGAAAGUGUGGGGAGCAAACAGGAUUAGAUACCCGUGUAGUC
RNAcentral lists this ribosomal RNA (461 nucleotides) under uncultured bacterium. Its description in RNAcentral is "partial 16S ribosomal RNA". It matches the Rfam family "Bacterial small subunit ribosomal RNA", at positions 338 to 795 of the family's 1533-position model. The record is from RNAcentral.